UCUUUAGUUGUAGUGGUGAAAAAUGGACGACAUGCAUGAUGACUUCUUGGUGUUGUCUACUGAGGAUAACGUUGCGGAAAAUGUUAACAUUGUCGAAAAUGAAAUGAUAGAAGGGGAUGGUGUGAUCGUUCCUAAGGUGGGUAUGAUCUUUAAGGAUGAAAAAGAAAUGUUUGAGAUGUACAAGAAAUAUGCUUAUAACGUCGAUUUUCCAGUUAGGAACAAAUAUUCUAAAAAGAGUAAGGAUGGAGUUCUUAGAUAGGUGACCUUCACUUGUAGUCGUAAAGGUCGAAGAAGCUAUAGUACAAAGGGUUCUUUGAAGCCACAGCCAACAUGUCAGACAAACUGUAAAGGAAGGAUCUCGGCAUCUUCAAGUGUUCAAGGAAAUUGGAGAAUUAACACAGUCCACUUCGAGCACAAUCAUAAAACAAGUCCUUCAAAGUCUAGGCUGUAUCGAUGCAAUAGAGAAUUGACUACAAAUGUGAAGCGUAAGCUCAAGGUGAAUGAUAUUGUAGGAAUUCCAUUACACAAAAGGUACAACUCCGCAGUUGUCGAAGCAGGCGAAUAUGAGAAUAUGACAUGCCUUGAAAAGGAUUGUCGGAACUAUGUUGAACAAGUAAGACGAUUACGACUUGGAGUAAGAGAUGCCGCCACUAUACAAAUAUACUUUUCAAAGAUGCAAGCAUAGUGCUCCGAAUUUUAUUUCAACAUGGACCUAGACGAUGAGUCACGGUUAAAAAACGUAUUUUGGGCAGAAAAUAGGUGCAGACAAGCAUACAAGGAGUUCGGUGAUGUCGUCACAUUUGACACCACUUAUCUUACUAAUAAGUUCGACAUGCCUUUCACACCCUUCAUUGGAGUGAAUCACCAUGGACAAUCAAUAUUGCUUGGGUGUGGUUUAUUAUCAAAUGAGGAUACAGAUAUUUUUGAGUGGCUUUUGAAGACGUGGCUUCAGUGUGUAAAUGGGUCUUUGCAUAGAAUAAUUACUGAUCAGGACAAAGCAAUGCAAAAUGCAAUUCAGAUUGUUUUUCCAAAUACAAGACAUGAAUGGUGUUUGCUGCACAUUAUGAAGAAGUUGCCAGAGAAGUUUGGUUAUCACGUUGAUAAGGCAUCGAUAUUCUCGUCUAUACACAAACUAGUAUAUGAUUCUCAGUUUGUUCAAGAAUUUGAAGAAGGUUAGUGGUCGAUGAUCGACGAGUUUGAAUGACAUGAUAAUAAUUGGUUGUCGGGUCUAUAUGAGAAUAGAGGUCUCCGGGUGCCAUGUUUUUUGAAUACCAAUUUUUGGGCGGGGAUGUCAAUAGCGCAGUGAAGUGAGAGUAUGCAUGCCUUUUUUGAUGGAUAUGUCCAUUUGAAAACCUCGUUGAACCAAUUUGUAGAACAGUACAAAAGAGCUCUGUGAAAGAAGGUAGAGAAAAAACUUCAGGCUAAUUUUAAAUCAUUCACGCAAAUAUUCCCUGUGCUACAAAUUUUGAGAUUGAGAAGUUAUUUCAAUAAGUUUACACUAUGUCCAAAUUCAAGGAAGUUCAAGAUGAGUUCACGGGAAAGGUUUACUGUGACAUCAUAUCUGUUUCUGAGGGAUGUUCGGGGACUGCAUAUGAGGUACGAGAGGAUGUUAUGUAUAAUGAGCACCAGAAGAAAAGAAUAAUUUUCGUUUCUUUUCGGAGAGAUGGAUGUGAGAUUAGUUGCUACUGCCACUUGUUCGAGUUCGGAGCAUAAUUUGUAGGCACGCGAUCACAGUUUUGAUCCACAAUGAUGUCACAUUACUUUCGAAGAGAUAUAUAAUACGGAGAUGGAGGAGAGAUGUACGUAGAGCACUCACUAGGGUAAUAGUGAACUACAAUGGUUUGAUUAGUACUCUAGAGCAAUUGAGAUACAAUGAUAUGUGUCAGGCUUUUACAGAGGUAGCAGACCUUGCUACAGAUGAUGAAGUGUGGACACGUGAGGUAAUGGAUUGGAUAAACAACAAGGCGAAAGAUUUGAGGUUAAACAAGUCAAGCAGUGAAAGCAAUUUUGUGUGACAACAUAAUAUUCAGUUAGAAUCCCAGUGCUGUGAUUCGCUUAAUAGUGCAAAUGCGAGCAUACUAGAUCCAAAAUCGUCGAAAAGAAAAGGUGCACCAAGGAAACUUCGAAAAAAAAAGCCAAUUGGAGUCGAUUUCAAAGAAAUCGAAGGUGUGUACUUGCCUAUGAUCUUUUCCAUUCUAACAUAGUCCUUUACCAAAUUUUAAUUCAUCUUAAUGUACAUGCAGGCAACUUCAAAUUUAAACAAAGGAAAGAGACCGAAACCAUGGGAUAGUAAUACAGAUGAGGCUACACCCAACAUUCAACCAUUUCAACAAACACAAUAUUCACAAUCAAUGUCGUUCUCGUAUUCACACCUAUUAUUGGUUAGUAUAUUGAUUUUACAUAAUUGUGGCUUUUUGAAUAGUAAUUUAAUUUGCUCUUUGAUGUAGGCCGACACUAGAACUCACGUGUUUACCCAACAAUUACUGGAUAUGAAUUUGACCCCUCCGUCGUCUUUGAACAAUGUACUCGGUUCUGCGGGUAUGGGCAUUUUUCAAUCAUUCUAACUCAAUAUGUGCAUGGACAGUAUUAAUGCAGUAAUGUCCGUGGUGCACAUUAGGUCAAUCGUUGCAAUCCUGCUACUCACAUUUACUGUAUAAUGGUGGCGCAGGAACAUAGGCGAGUGGAAGUUCGGUGAUUUUUUUUUUUACUUUGUUUUUUAUCUUUUGCAUUGCUAAAUGCAAAAUGGUAAUAUGGGCUUGGAGAGCAUUGUAAUGUUUUGUUUAUGCCGUCUUACAGAUUGUCCAUAAGAAGACAGCUUCUAU
This 2822-nucleotide long non-coding RNA is filed under the name Olea europaea subsp. europaea. Lineage: Eukaryota; Viridiplantae; Streptophyta; Magnoliopsida; Lamiales; Oleaceae. The record is from RNAcentral.